GACGAACGCUGGCGGCGUGCUUAACACAUGCAAGUCGAACGGAAAUGCCCUGCUUUUGUGGGGUGCUCGAGUGGCGAACGGGUGAGUAACACGUGAGUAACCUGCCCUUGACUUUGGGAUAACUUCAGGAAACUGGGGCUAAUACCGGAUAGGAGCUCCUGCUGCAUGGUGGGGGUUGGAAAGUUUCGGCGGUUGGGGAUGGACUCGCGGCUUAUCAGCUUGUUGGUGGGGUAGUGGCUUACCAAGGCUUUGACGGGUAGCCGGCCUGAGAGGGUGACCGGCCACAUUGGGACUGAGAUACGGCCCGGACUCCUACGGGAGGCAGCAGUGGGGAAUAUUGCACAAUGGGCGGAAGCCUGAUGCAGCAACGCCGCGUGCGGGAUGACGGCCUUCGGGUUGUAAACCGCUUUCGCCUGUGACGAAGCGUGAGUGACGGUAAUGGGUAAAGAAGCACCGGCUAACUACGUG
This 468-nucleotide ribosomal RNA is filed under the name uncultured bacterium. Its description in RNAcentral is "partial 16S ribosomal RNA". It matches the Rfam family "Bacterial small subunit ribosomal RNA", at positions 28 to 507 of the family's 1533-position model. The record is from RNAcentral.